Molecule: ribosomal RNA, 385 nt
Filed under: uncultured bacterium
Lineage: Bacteria
Description: bacterial SSU rRNA
Rfam family: Bacterial small subunit ribosomal RNA
Source: RNAcentral
GACGAACGCUGGCGGCGUGCUUAACACAUGCAAGUCGAGCGGUAAGGCCCUUCGGGGUACACGAGCGGCGAACGGGUGAGUAACACGUGGGUGACCUGCCCUCAGCUCUGGGAUAAGCCUGGGAAACCGGGUCUAAUACCGGAUAUGACUCCAUGACGCAUGUCGUGGGGUGGAAAGCCUUGUGCGGCUGGGGAUGGGCCCGCGGCCUAUCAGCUUGUUGGUGGGGUGANGGCCUACCAAGGCGACGACGGGUAGCCGGCCUGAGAGGGCGACCGGCCACACUGGGACUGAGACACGGCCCAGACUCCUACGGGAGGCAGCAGUGGGGAAUCUUGCGCAAUGGGCGAAAGCCUGACGCAGCGACGCCGCGUGAGGGAUGACGGCC